Molecule: ribosomal RNA, 255 nt
Filed under: uncultured bacterium
Lineage: Bacteria
Description: partial 16S ribosomal RNA
Rfam family: Bacterial small subunit ribosomal RNA
Source: RNAcentral
UACGUAGGGGGCAAGCGUUGUCCGGAAUCAUUGGGCGUAAAGCGCGUGUAGGCGGCUUGGUAAGUCCGGUGUGAAACCUUGGGGCUCAACCCCAAGCCUGCAUCGGAAACUGCCUCGCUCGAGUCCGGGAGGGGAGAGCGGAAGUUCCUAGUGUAGCGGUGAAAUGCGCAGAUAUUAGGAAGAACACCGGUGGCGAAGGCGGCUCUCUGGAACGGUACUGACGCUGAGACGCGAAAGCGUGGGGAGCGAACGAGG